ACGCUCGACACCUACGGGAGGAGCAGUAGGGAAUCUUCCACAAUGGACGCAAGUCUGAUGGAGCAACGCCGCGUGAGUGAAGAAGGUCUUCGGAUCGUAAAACUCUGUUGUUAGAGAAGAACACGAGUGAGAGUAACUGUUCAUUCGAUGACGGUAUCUAACCAGCAAGUCACGGCUAACUACGUGCCANCACGCCGGUACGGUAACUCGUAGGACGGGCGGGUCGUCGGACGAAGGC
RNAcentral lists this ribosomal RNA (238 nucleotides) under uncultured bacterium. RNAcentral describes it as "partial 16S ribosomal RNA". It matches the Rfam family "Bacterial small subunit ribosomal RNA", at positions 328 to 540 of the family's 1533-position model. The record is from RNAcentral.